Molecule: long non-coding RNA, 1345 nt
Organism: Eriocheir sinensis (Chinese mitten crab)
Lineage: Eukaryota; Metazoa; Arthropoda; Malacostraca; Decapoda; Varunidae
Exons: 2
Source: RefSeq, a predicted model, not a curated record
UUGCAUAGAAGAGGAGAGGGACGAGGAGGAGGAGGAGAAGAAGAAGAAGAAGAAGAAAAGAAGGAAGAGGAGGAGGAGGUAGUGCCGGUGGUAGUGGUGGUGGUAGGAGGAGGAGGACGAUGACGAGGAAGUAGAAGAAAUGAAAAUAAGGAAAAGGGAAGAAAGAGAGUAAAUGGAAGGAAGAAUGACUGAUGAUGAGGGGAUGAUGAGGAUGAAGAUGAUGAAAGUGGAAGCUAUUAGGGACCUUUCUUUUUUCGUCAACACUUUCUUUUCCUAAUUUCACGAACAGGUAUAAAAAAAAAAAACUAAUUUAUACAUUUUCUGAAGCUGGUAUACUCAAGCUGGUAACUCUGCCUAGGUUUACUUAAGGUGACUCUACAGUAUACUCACGCUUGUCUCUUUACGUCACUAACAUAUCCACCAUUAACACGUUUGUCUCCGUCUUCUUGCUCCUAAUUAGACGACCAGGUAAAGUCACGCUUGUCACACUAAUUAAGACAUCCCUCAUUAGUAACACGCUGGUCUCAGGUUCUUUGUUACUAAUCCCCCGCCCGUAAAGUCACGCUUGUCACAUUAAUAAGUGCUCCUAUUUCCACGCACAGGUAGAGUCACGCUUGUCACACUAAUGAAGACAUCCCUCAUUAGUAACACGCUGGUCUCAGGUUCUUUGUUACUAAUCCCCCGCCCGGUAGAGUCACGCUUGUCACACUAAUGAAGACAUCCCUCAUUAGUAACACGCUGGUCUCAGGUUCUUUGUUGCUAAUCCCCCGCCAGAUUAAAAAGUGGUCCCAUUUCCACGAGUAGUCACGCUUGUUAAUUAAAGAGUUACUAACCUGUUCACACAUACACAUUAUUAGUAACAUGGAAACGUUAAGUAAAGAAAGUAAAGUCACGCUGGUCAGAUUCAGAGCUCAGACACACUUAAGAAGAAGAGUAAAAUUAAGAAUAAAACAUAAAUAAAAAAAGAACACAGGAAGGACGUUAAAAGGGGAAUAGAAACAAGAAAAAAAGAACACAGAAAAAACGUUAAAAGGGGAAUAGAAAUAACAAGAAAAAAAAGAACACAAGAAAAACGUUAAAAGGGGAAUAGAAAUAACAAGAAAAAAAAGAACACAAGAAAAACGUUAAAAGGGGAAUAGAAAUAACAAGAAAAAAAAGAACACAAGAAAAACGUUAAAAGGGGAACAGAAAUAACAAGAAAAAAAGAACACAAGAAAAACGUUAAAUGGGGAAUAUAAAUAACAAGAAGAAAAAAAAACAAGAAAAACGUUAAAAGGGGAACAGAAAUAACAAGAAAAAAAAGAACACAAGAAAGACGUUAAAAGGGGAAUAUAAAUAACAAUAA